RNAcentral lists this ribosomal RNA (441 nucleotides) under uncultured ammonia-oxidizing beta proteobacterium. RNAcentral describes it as "bacterial SSU rRNA". It matches the Rfam family "Bacterial small subunit ribosomal RNA", at positions 198 to 620 of the family's 1533-position model. Lineage: Bacteria; Pseudomonadati; Pseudomonadota; Betaproteobacteria. The record is from RNAcentral.
GGAGGAAAGCAGGGGAUCGCAAGACCUUGCGCUUUUGGAGUGGCCGAUGCCUGAUUAGCUAGUUGGUGGGGUAAUGGCCUACCAAGGCGACGAUCAGUAGUUGGUCUGAGAGGACGACCAGCCACACUGGGACUGAGACACGGCCCAGACUCCUACGGGAGGCAGCAGUGGGGAAUUUUGGACAAUGGGCGAAAGCCUGAUCCAGCAAUGCCGCGUGAGUGAAGAAGGCCUUCGGGUUGUAAAGCUCUUUCAGUCGAGAAGAAAAGGUUGUGACUAAUAAUCACAACUCAUGACGGUAUCGACAGAAGAAGCACCGGCUAACUACGUGCCAGCAGCCGCGGUAAUACGUAGGGUGCGAGCGUUAAUCGGAAUUACUGGGCGUAAAGGGUGCGCAGGCGGCUUUGUAAGUCAGAUGUGAAAUCCCCGGGCUUAACCUGGGAA